This 1418-nucleotide ribosomal RNA is filed under the name Salmonella enterica subsp. enterica. Its description in RNAcentral is "bacterial LSU rRNA". It matches the Rfam family "Bacterial large subunit ribosomal RNA", at positions 1223 to 2623 of the family's 2925-position model. The record is from RNAcentral. Lineage: Bacteria; Pseudomonadati; Pseudomonadota; Gammaproteobacteria; Enterobacterales; Enterobacteriaceae.
GUUGGGUAGGGGAGCGUUCUGUAAGCCUGUGAAGGUGUGUCGUGAGGCAUGCUGGAGGUAUCAGAAGUGCGAAUGCUGACAUAAGUAACGAUAAAGCGGGUGAAAAGCCCGCUCGCCGGAAGACCAAGGGUUCCUGUCCAACGUUAAUCGGGGCAGGGUGAGUCGACCCCUAAGGCGAGGCCGAAAGGCGUAGUCGAUGGGAAACGGGUUAAUAUUCCCGUACUUGGUGUUACUGCGAAGGGGGGACGGAGAAGGCUAUGUUGGCCGGGCGACGGUUGUCCCGGUUUAAGCGUGUAGGUGUGUGUUCCAGGUAAAUCCGGUUCACUUUAACACUGAGGCGUGACGACGAGGCACUACGGUGCUGAAGCAACAAAUGCCCUGCUUCCAGGAAAAGCCUCUAAGCAUCAGGUAACAUCAAAUCGUACCCCAAACCGACACAGGUGGUCAGGUAGAGAAUACCAAGGCGCUUGAGAGAACUCGGGUGAAGGAACUAGGCAAAAUGGUGCCGUAACUUCGGGAGAAGGCACGCUGACACGUAGGUGAAGUGAUUUACUCAUGGAGCUGAAGUCAGUCGAAGAUACCAGCUGGCUGCAACUGUUUAUUAAAAACACAGCACUGUGCAAACACGAAAGUGGACGUAUACGGUGUGACGCCUGCCCGGUGCCGGAAGGUUAAUUGAUGGGGUCAGCGCAAGCGAAGCUCCUGAUCGAAGCCCCGGUAAACGGCGGCCGUAACUAUAACGGUCCUAAGGUAGCGAAAUUCCUUGUCGGGUAAGUUCCGACCUGCACGAAUGGCGUAAUGAUGGCCAGGCUGUCUCCACCCGAGACUCAGUGAAAUUGAACUCGCUGUGAAGAUGCAGUGUACCCGCGGCAAGACGGAAAGACCCCGUGAACCUUUACUAUAGCUUGACACUGAACAUUGAGCCUUGAUGUGUAGGAUAGGUGGGAGGCUUUGAAGCGUGGACGCCAGUCUGCGUGGAGCCGACCUUGAAAUACCACCCUUUAAUGUUUGAUGUUCUAACGUGGACCCGUGAUCCGGGUUGCGGACAGUGUCUGGUGGGUAGUUUGACUGGGGCGGUCUCCUCCUAAAGAGUAACGGAGGAGCACGAAGGUUGGCUAAUCCUGGUCGGACAUCAGGAGGUUAGUGCAAUGGCAUAAGCCAGCUUGACUGCGAGCGUGACGGCGCGAGCAGGUGCGAAAGCAGGUCAUAGUGAUCCGGUGGUUCUGAAUGGAAGGGCCAUCGCUCAACGGAUAAAAGGUACUCCGGGGAUAACAGGCUGAUACCGCCCAAGAGUUCAUAUCGACGGCGGUGUUUGGCACCUCGAUGUCGGCUCAUCACAUCCUGGGGCUGAAGUAGGUCCCAAGGGUAUGGCUGUUCGCCAUUUAAAGUGGUACGCGAGCUGGGUUUAGAACGUCGUG